Molecule: unclassified non-coding RNA, 468 nt
Filed under: Hevea brasiliensis (rubber tree)
Lineage: Eukaryota; Viridiplantae; Streptophyta; Magnoliopsida; Malpighiales; Euphorbiaceae
Source: RNAcentral
GAUAAUGGCAGGAGGAAGGCAUCCCAUGAAAAUAACUUUCAGUGUAGGAUUCAAGUCUAGUGGGAAAAUUACGGCCUUAAAUCUUGAUAUACUGAUCAAUGCUGGCAUAUAUCUAGACAUAAGUCCAGUUUUGCCACAUAACAUAAUGGGAGCAUUGAAAAAAUAUGACUGGGGUGCUUUAUCUUUUGAUAUGAAGGUAUGCAAAACAAACCUUCUAAGUAGAUCAGCAAUGCGAGCCCCUGGAGAGGUGCAAGGUUCAUAUAUUGCAGAAGCCGUAAUUGAACAUGUGGCAUCUUCUCUUUCCAUGGAUGCAGAUUCAGUUAGAGCCAUAAAUCUCCACACCCAUGAUAGCCUUAACUCAUUCUAUGAUGUUAGUGCUGGAGAACCUCUUGAAUACACUUUACCUUCAUUAUGGGAUAAGUUAGCGACAUCUUCGAGCUUUAUCCAAAGGACUGAAAUGAUAAAAGA